This 114-nucleotide ribosomal RNA is filed under the name Fasciola gigantica. Lineage: Eukaryota; Metazoa; Platyhelminthes; Trematoda; Plagiorchiida; Fasciolidae. The record is from RNAcentral.
GUGGUCAUACCACACCGGGAACACCGGUUCUCGUCUGAUUACCGAAGUUAAUCAACGCCAAACCCGGUUAGUACUUGCAUGGGUGACCGGCUCGAAAUACAGGAUGUUACGGCC